RNAcentral lists this ribosomal RNA (313 nucleotides) under uncultured bacterium. RNAcentral's name for it is "bacterial SSU rRNA". It matches the Rfam family "Bacterial small subunit ribosomal RNA", at positions 30 to 342 of the family's 1533-position model. The record is from RNAcentral.
AUUGAACGCUGGCGGCGUGCCUAACACAUGCAAGUCGAGCGGUAACAGGUGUAGCAAUACAUGCUGACGAGCGGCGGACGGGUGAGUAACGCUUGGGAAUCUGCCCGUUAGUGGGGGACAACCCGGGGAAACUCGGGCUAAUACCGCAUACGCAUUACGGUGGAAAGCCGGGGACCGCAAGGCCUGGCGCUAACAGAUGAGCCCAAGUCGGAUUAGCUAGUUGGUAGGGUAACGGCCACCAAGGCGACGAUCCGUAACUGGUCUGAGAGGACGACCAGUCACACCGGAACUGAGACACGGUCCGGACUCCUAC